UCAUGGUGUUUGCAGGUAUCCAUGUGUAAAUGAGAGCAAGGGAGCACACCUGCUGUCCAUUUAUCUUUGCACAGAACAUGCCAUGGAGAAUAGGAGAGAAAGCCUGAAGUUAUGAAGGAGCCACUUUUAAAAUCAUCUGUGUCCACAAAGGCAAGCAGCAAUGUAAAGAGAUGCCCAAAUCUCACGCAUUCAAUUGUGGAAUAAAUAACACACAGUUUUCCUCGAUGGUAAUUCUGCUAUGAGGACGGACCACAGGGUUUCCCAAGCAUACCACUCUUCCCCACAAAGACUCUGAACCAAAUUGUGGAUUUCCCUUGGACACCACCCCACACCCCACACUUUGUCAUUUGCCUUGAGGUCAGCCUAUGUGAAGGAAAGAUCCGAGUGCUCAUCUGGUCUUACAUCUGAGGCUCUGGGUUCUGAACCUGAAUCUCCAGGUGGUGAUAUUGGUGGAAAGUAGGUCAGAGUUGGAAUCCCCUAGCUCCAUCCAUCAUCAUUUUUGGAAGUCCAGUCAUCAAUACCAAGGGUAACCUG
Long non-coding RNA from Neofelis nebulosa (Clouded leopard), 534 nucleotides. RefSeq lists it as uncharacterized. The record is from RefSeq and is a predicted model, not a curated record. NCBI's taxonomy places the organism in Eukaryota, Metazoa, Chordata, Mammalia, Carnivora, Felidae. The transcript has 3 exons.